UCGAAAGAGGUUCACACAAUAAUCUCAAGAGUUGAGAGUAUUUGGAGAGUUAUAGAGAUAUUCGGGUAUAGCUUUGAUAGUUUUAAGUAUAAAGUACACCAAUAAUUAUUUAAUUUUAGUGCUAAUAACAACAUAAUUACUCAACUUUCAAUUUAAUCACUAAACUUUAUUAUGAAAAUGACAAAUCAAUCACUAAUAGAGAUUUUCCGUUAUAGAAGUAACAGACGUUAACUAGCUGCGAUGGAACCCCAAGUAAGAACCCUAGCUGCUCGAAGAAAAAGAAGAAGAGAAGAAAUGAAGAUAUCCACUGUUGAUUUCAAUUUUUUCUUUCAUUUUCUCUGUUGAUUUUCUCAGCAUCUAAACAAUGGAAAGUUUAGCCCUCUACGCCGCGGCUUCCUCUGGUUUCUCUUCAACCACUUCUUUUUUCCUAAUCUCUUCUCUCAUCUCCUCAUUUUUGGCAGCCAGCUUUUUCUAUUCCCUGCAAUCCAUUCCAGCCCUAAACUCUCGGCCAAACAAAAGUUGUACCUCGUGAGGGAGUUUGGUGCGAUGCAGAUAACAGCGGUUCUUGGGUUGCUUGUUAUAACAAACUCUUGUUUUGGGAUGUGCCAAGGUAGUAACACAAAUGCAGGAGGAGAUUUUGAUUUUUGGAACAGGAUUUCGGAGGAGCGCUUAGCAGAAUGGGAAUUAGAGGCAAUGUUGGCGGUGUUGUUAGAACGACAAAGGUCUUCGAGGCGACGCUUCUCGAUUUGCUUGGCUUACUCAGAAGCGUCAGUCAUCUAGUGGAUUAAUAUAUGGAGAUAACUCAAAAGAUUGAAAAUUCAACAAGAUUAAAAUAACAAAAAAAUGAAAGGAAAAAAAAUAUGGUACUUUUAUUGUGUUUUUUUUUUUUUGGUAUUUUGUGCUCUAUUUGGUUACUGAGAAACUGGGAGGGGAAAAUAUAGUGGAAUUAGAAUAGUGUAAAAAGUGAAAGGAGGAAAACCUGAAAGGUUGAGAGAAUGCUAGAAGAACGAGGGCUUUUUUGUUUUUUUUUUUAAUUUGAUUAAAGAUGAUUAAGGAAAGGAACCUAAUAGAUCUAAUGUGGUAAGUUAAUUGACCAUGCCAACUAGUUAAUGAGUCACUCACUUGCUCCGUUAAGCUUGUAAUAAAAAAUAUUAAUAGGUAGUUGAUUUGUCACUUUUUGUAAUGUUAAUAACUAGUUUAUUAUUUUUUUAAAGUUUAGUGAGUGAGUUGAAAGUUAAGUAAUUAUUUUAUUGUUAAAAUUAAAAUUAGGUGACUAUUGGUAUAAUUUAUCCUAAUUAUAAAUUAAAUCGGAGACUUCUUGAAUAUAGGCAGAUGCUGAAUUUGGUGUGGCCCCUUUAGAUGUUUUGUCGUCUAGAAGAGUUGAAGAGUGCUAGAGUAAAAUCACGUAGUGCUAUGCUAGGGUAAAAUCAUGUGAGAAGCACAUAGGAAUUGUCUGCCCACAUAUAAGCAUGGUCUUUUUUGACAAAGCGAUCGAGUUUACAAGAUCUUCUUAAAGUGGUAAGUGUAACAAAUAUAUAUGUAAGAAAAUUUUUAUAAUAUAAUGUAUUCAUGGGUGAAAUCAGAAAAUUAUUUUAGGGAGUUAAAAUUAAAUUAUAAUUUUUAUAAUAGAAGAUAUAUAAUUUUAUUAUUUUAAAAAUUAUAUUUUUAUAAUUUUUAAAAAAUUAAAUUAAAUUUUUAUAUUUUUAAAAGGGUCAAAAUAUAAUUUUAACUUUAUUAAUUUAAAAUUUUAAAAAUUUUAAUUUUUUUUAUUAUUUUAGGAUGCCAGCCCCUGUCAGUACCCCUAAUUUUGCCACGGGAUGUUUUGGUAUAUCCGAUAUUUUAAAUACAAUUAUUUGUAAAAAAGAAAAAAAAAGUAACAUAAUAGAAGAAAAAGGGAUUACCAAGUCAUUGCAAUAUGCAAUUUUCAUUCUUCCUUUUCUGGUAUUUAAUUUUGUUUUCAGAACUUACAUACAUGAACAUGAACAGUAGUUUCUAGAUCCCAAUACAAAACAUUAGGAUUUUAGAAUAAAACGAAAAAGAAAAAUGAAGUACCUGACAGAGAAUUUGAUUACACUGUAAAAAGGAAAAAGAAAAGCUUGAUCUGUACCCCAUGUAUGCAUGUAUGUACCUUUAUCUCUCGGAAGUUGCUUGGUUUUCAAUUCAAGCAACAUGAAUGAAUCUUGAUUCUUGAAUACAAAUUAUUAUCUGUAUGAACAUAUUUUUGUGUAUUAUGUGCAGUCUUUAGUUUGGUUUUUGGAUCAAUUUCUAUGGCAGUCCUUCAAUAUUCUUCAGCUUCACACAAUCAUCUUCCUCUGCAAUUUCAAUCCCGUAAGAACAUUUACCUUCCUGGUUGGUUUUGCAGCUAUUGAAGAAGAAGCAACUCACAACAGUAUCAAGAACAACGAUUAUGGAAUAUAAAAAAGCAAUGAAAAUCGCUUCCAAAGCCAUUGAAAAGCAGUUGAAAUCACC
RNAcentral lists this long non-coding RNA (2469 nucleotides) under Gossypium barbadense (sea-island cotton). RNAcentral's name for it is "long non-coding RNA (GBAR_LNC005983)". Lineage: Eukaryota; Viridiplantae; Streptophyta; Magnoliopsida; Malvales; Malvaceae. The record is from RNAcentral.